RNAcentral lists this ribosomal RNA (370 nucleotides) under uncultured organism. Its description in RNAcentral is "partial 16S ribosomal RNA". It matches the Rfam family "Bacterial small subunit ribosomal RNA", at positions 527 to 896 of the family's 1533-position model. The record is from RNAcentral.
GUACUGUGCAAACGUUAUUCGGAAUCACUGGCUUAAAGGGUGCGUAGGCGGCGGGAUAAGUAGGGUGUGAAAGUCCCCGGCCCAACCGGGGAAUUGCGCUCUAAACUGUUCCGCUUGAGUGAGAUAGGGGUGCGUGGAACUUCCAGUGGAGCGGUGAAACGUGUUGAUAUUGGAAGGAACGCCGGUAGCGAAAGCGGCGCACUGGGUCUCAACUGACGCUGAGGCACGAAAGCCAGGGGAGCGAACGGGAUUAGAUACCCCGGGUAGUCCUGGCUGUAAACGAUGAGCACUAGUCGGGAGGGGCUUCGGCCCAUCCCGGACGCAGCGAAAGCAUUAAGUGCUCCGCCUGGGGAGUAUGGUCGCAAGGCUG